UUCCAGGUAAAUCCGGUUCACUUUAACACUGAGGCGUGACGACGAGGCACUACGGUGCUGAAGCAACAAAUGCCCUGCUUCCAGGAAAAGCCUCUAAGCAUCAGGUAACAUCAAAUCGUACCCCAAACCGACACAGGUGGUCAGGUAGAGAAUACCAAGGCGCUUGAGAGAACUCGGGUGAAGGAACUAGGCAAAAUGGUGCCGUAACUUCGGGAGAAGGCACGCUGACACGUAGGUGAAGUGAUUUACUCAUGGAGCUGAAGUCAGUCGAAGAUACCAGCUGGCUGCAACUGUUUAUUAAAAACACAGCACUGUGCAAACACGAAAGUGGACGUAUACGGUGUGACGCCUGCCCGGUGCCGGAAGGUUAAUUGAUGGGGUCAGCGCAAGCGAAGCUCCUGAUCGAAGCCCCGGUAAACGGCGGCCGUAACUAUAACGGUCCUAAGGUAGCGAAAUUCCUUGUCGGGUAAGUUCCGACCUGCACGAAUGGCGUAAUGAUGGCCAGGCUGUCUCCACCCGAGACUCAGUGAAAUUGAACUCGCUGUGAAGAUGCAGUGUACCCGCGGCAAGACGGAAAGACCCCGUGAACCUUUACUAUAGCUUGACACUGAACAUUGAGCCUUGAUGUGUAGGAUAGGUGGGAGGCUUUGAAGUGUGGACGCCAGUCUGCAUGGAGCCGACCUUGAAAUACCACCCUUUAAUGUUUGAUGUUCUAACGUGGACCCGUAAUCCGGGUUGCGGACAGUGUCUGGUGGGUAGUUUGACUGGGGCGGUCUCCUCCUAAAGAGUAACGGAGGAGCACGAAGGUUGGCUAAUCCUGGUCGGACAUCAGGAGGUUAGUGCAAUGGCAUAAGCCAGCUUGACUGCGAGCGUGACGGCGCGAGCAGGUGCGAAAGCAGGUCAUAGUGAUCCGGUGGUUCUGAAUGGAAGGGCCAUCGCUCAACGGAUAAAAGGUACUCCGGGGAUAACAGGCUGAUACCGCCCAAGAGUUCAUAUCGACGGCGGUGUUUGGCACCUCGAUGUCGGCUCAUCACAUCCUGGGGCUGAAGUAGGUCCCAAGGGUAUGGCUGUUCGCCAUUUAAAGUGGUACGCGAGCUGGGUUUAGAACGUCGUGAGACAGUUCGGUCCCUAUCUGCCGUGGGCGCUGGAGAACUGAGGGGGGCUGCUCCUAGUACGAGAGGACCGGAGUGGACGCAUCACUGGUGUUCGGGUUGUCAUGCCAAUGGCACUGCCCGGUAGCUAAAUGCGGAAGAGAUAAGUGCUGAAAGCAUCUAAGCACGAAACUUGCCCCGAGAUGAGUUCUCCCUGAGACUUAGAGUCUCCUGAAGGAACGUUGAAGACGACGACG
Molecule: ribosomal RNA, 1348 nt
Filed under: Salmonella enterica subsp. enterica serovar Typhimurium
Lineage: Bacteria; Pseudomonadati; Pseudomonadota; Gammaproteobacteria; Enterobacterales; Enterobacteriaceae
Description: partial 23S ribosomal RNA
Rfam family: Bacterial large subunit ribosomal RNA
Source: RNAcentral